This is a long non-coding RNA of Strigops habroptila (Kakapo), 1957 nucleotides long. RefSeq lists it as uncharacterized. Lineage: Eukaryota; Metazoa; Chordata; Aves; Psittaciformes; Psittacidae. The record is from RefSeq and is a predicted model, not a curated record. The transcript has 3 exons.
UUUUCAUCUCUGCCAGAUUUGUUGAAUAUAUAUAACGUAUAUUCUGUGAAAUGUAUGUGAAACCAGACUUAACAAGUCUGGCAAGGCAGAAUUUUCUUGUGAUGAGUUCUUCUUCCUGAGAAGAGGCUGCAAAAGAACGGUGCUUCCUACUGAAGUUUCUGAUUUGUACAGCAGUAACCAGAGGAGAAUGCAGCCCCUAGUUCUGCUGAUGGGCACAAACUGAUGAUGAGAAGGCCUUUCCAUCCCUUGUGCCAUUAGGCAGGGGACUCUGAAGCCUCCAUUCCCCUGCCUGGCUCACAAGGAGGUGGGAGCUCAGCUGUGGCAGCUGAGCAGGCAGAUGCCAGCAUGCUCAGACAGGGAGGAAAAUUGUCUGGUUUUGGCUGGGCUGUUGAAGAAGAACUGUUUUUACUUCCAUAGUUUUUCUACAUCCUAAAGAAUAUUUGAUUUUUCUAAAAGGACAUUUUCUGUCACAAAAUACCUCCUGGUGGAAAGCUUCCAGUCAGUGGUCCUGAAUGAGACAGAGGGAUUCCAGGAGAAGGAAAGAAAAUCAAGAUAGAGAAGUCUUUCUCUGGAGGACUGGGGUCUGUCCCUCUUUCUGCCACAAGCUCUGAUGGUUUUGGUUAAUUGCUUCAGUUAGACUUUUCACAGUCACCAAAUCGCCUUCGUCUUCCAGAUACUUGACUUGAAGCCAUUUGCAAAGGCAAUAUAUGUUUAAGCUGUAGAAAAUCCACCAAGAAUGCUUAACGUGGCUACCACUCAAUAUAAAACAUGCUACAAGUUUGGAUUACAAGUUUUUCAAAUUGGGUUUCCGCAAUUACAGAUCCUUUUGUAAACUGAGAUUAUCAAGAGUCAAGUCAAACUUGUUGUGGAAGCAAAUUAAUUCAUAAAUAUGCAAAAACGCUCGAUAAUUUAACAAAGAUGAUCAAAGUCAUAAUGAAAUUACAAGUUGAUCUUCAGGAGCAGGCUGAGAAAGAUAUGCAGGGACUGAUGAGAAAACAGCAUAGCUGCUCAUUAACUUCAACCAAUCCUAUGGGUAGGUAGCGGGGAGGAGGGAAUGGUAUUCAAGUAAAUUUAUAAUUCUAUGCAGAAAGGGAAUGCAUAGAUGACAUUUUGAUUGUUAACUUUUUAGGGCUUUGCAACUUUAAUAAUGCUUUUUAAUGUAGGAUACAAAGAAACUGAAGGUUGUUACUAGAGUUCCUUGUACCUUCAAAAUACAAUGAAAGGAAGUCUAGCAUUCAUUUUACUGCUUACAGUUUUGAAAGACCUGAAAGCUGUGGAGGAACCGUUGAACUGUUCGUAUUAAAACAAGCAUAUUGUACUGAUCCCACAGUGAGCCAGACAGAUAGCUGAAGAAUGUCAAUAAAUAUCUAUUUAUAGUUUAAGUAACUUACUGUGGCUAAGUCUGUGAUCCUUUUUUAUAAACUCUGUAACUCAAUUACAGAAAGACUAUCUGGCUGAAAGAGAAAAGCUCAGCUCUUUGAGUAUUUUCAUAUUAAACUACCCAUGAAGAAUUAGGUGCUAAACAUCUUCAAAUAUCUGAUCCUGAGCAGUAGCCUAAUUAAAUAGAAAUAGAAAUACUACAUUCUAGCUUUCUAGAUCUGAGUGGGGAGAAGACUGGCUUUUUCCUGCCAUCUAAAAGCCUAAGAAAUGAGUUUUCCUUGAAGCCUUCACUGAAGCAGCAGUUUCAAGUGCUAGUUGCGGACUCUUCUAAAAAAUAUGCCUCAAAUUCAUACGUGCAAGAAUUAAUUUCCAAGAAGAUGAUUUGGAGAUAGUCCAGUUUGUCAGAGAAUUUAAAACGACCUGUUUUUUUAUUAUCUGGCCAGCAGGAAUGCUUGCAAACACUCAAAAACUCAGAAAGCAUUUUGCAGGUAUUUGACAGAUUGUUCAAGCAGAGCGUGAUAAGGUGAGCUUAAUAAAAAUAUAUUAUUGUAUUAAUAAAAAAAAAUUACAAAAAUUA